This 147-nucleotide non-coding RNA is filed under the name Nomascus leucogenys (northern white-cheeked gibbon). The record is from Rfam by way of RNAcentral. Lineage: Eukaryota; Metazoa; Chordata; Mammalia; Primates; Hylobatidae.
GCCAGGCAUGGUGGUGUGUGCCUGUAAUCCUAGCUGCUUGGAGGCUGAGGCAGGAGGAUCCCUUGAACCCAGGAGGCGGAGGUUGCAGUGAACUGAGAUCGUGCCACUGCACUCCAACCUGGGUGACAGAGUGAGAUUCUGUCUCCA